UACGUAGGGGGCUAGCGUUGUCCGGAAUCAUUGGGCGUAAAGAGCGUGUAGGCGGUCCGGUAAGUCCGCUGUGAAAGUCGGGGGCUCAACCCUCGAAUGCCGGUGGAUACUGUCGGGCUAGAGUGCGGAAGAGGCGAGUGGAAUUCCUGGUGUAGCAGUGAAAUGCGUAGAGAUGUGGAGGAAUACCGAUGGCGAAGGCAGCCCCCUGGGAUAACACUGACGCUCAUGCACGAAAGCGUGGGGAGCAAACAGG
This 253-nucleotide ribosomal RNA is filed under the name uncultured bacterium. RNAcentral's name for it is "partial 16S ribosomal RNA". It matches the Rfam family "Bacterial small subunit ribosomal RNA", at positions 524 to 776 of the family's 1533-position model. The record is from RNAcentral.